Molecule: transfer RNA, 103 nt
Filed under: Rhizobium leguminosarum
Lineage: Bacteria; Pseudomonadati; Pseudomonadota; Alphaproteobacteria; Hyphomicrobiales; Rhizobiaceae
Description: tRNA-Gln
Rfam family: tRNA
About the family: Transfer RNA (tRNA) molecules are approximately 80 nucleotides in length.
Source: RNAcentral
UGGGGAAUAGUUCAAUGGUAGAAUAACGGACUCUGACUCCGUCGAUCUUAGCUCGAAUCCAGGGACUCCGUCGAUCUUAGCUCGAAUCCAGGUUCCCCAGCCA